CGUACCUAUAGUAAUUAAAUUGCUAAUUAAAUCUAUACUUUUUAAUUUUUAUAAAUAAUAUCGUAUGACGUAACAUCUGACUUAGCGUCUCUAUUAAUAAAAUAACAGUUUUGUCAAUAGUAGGAUAAAAUCAAUGAGAGUAAAAAAGUUUAAAAUUUAAUUAAUAAUUUUUAUAAUAUGAGAUAGAAUUACAAAAAUUAAAAAAGUAUGAAAUUUAUUUGGUAAAUAUCACUUAAUUUUAUUGCCUACGUGGGAAUUCUAUUAUCUAGAUAACUUUGCCAGCUUUAAAAGGGGUCGGGAUAAGAAUUUAUGCAGUAGGUGAAGAACUGGUAAUUAUGUGGUACAAAGA
This 349-nucleotide unclassified non-coding RNA is filed under the name Hevea brasiliensis (rubber tree). Lineage: Eukaryota; Viridiplantae; Streptophyta; Magnoliopsida; Malpighiales; Euphorbiaceae. The record is from RNAcentral.